Molecule: ribosomal RNA, 288 nt
Filed under: uncultured bacterium
Lineage: Bacteria
Description: partial 16S ribosomal RNA
Rfam family: Bacterial small subunit ribosomal RNA
Source: RNAcentral
CCUUUCGGGGAUGAAGGGUUUAUGACUGAGUGGCGGACGGGUGAGUAACGCGUGGGCAACCUGCCCCGUACCGGGGGACAACAGCCGGAAACGGCUGCUAAUACCGUAUACGUUUUAAGGACCGCAUGGUCCGUAAAACAAAACUCCGGUGGUACGGGAUGGGCCCGCGUCUGAUUAGCUCGUUGGCGGGGUAACGGCCCACCAAGGCGACGAUCAGUAGCCGGCCUGAGAGGGCGGCCGGCCACAUUGGGACUGAGACACGGCCCAGACUCCUACGGGAGGCAGCAG